Hemibagrus wyckioides is the source of this 4654-nucleotide long non-coding RNA. RefSeq lists it as uncharacterized. The record is from RefSeq and is a predicted model, not a curated record. Lineage: Eukaryota; Metazoa; Chordata; Actinopteri; Siluriformes; Bagridae. The transcript has 4 exons.
AGCUCUCUCUCAGUUCUCUGUAAUGAAGGUGAAAGUGAAAAUAGUUUUCGACUCAGAAACAGAGAAACUGCACCGUUACACUUCCUGCUGUAUCGGACUGAUAAAGGAGGAAUAUAUGUGUGUGUAGACAGGAGACAUUUUAAACACGGGGUUUAAACCUUAAUGAGAUAAAUACCGAAUAUGAGCCGCUCUGAAAUGUGGAAACGCUUCAGCUAAAGCAGCAGAUGUGUUUAUAUGAGGAACAGAGAAGGAUUUUAUUAGUUUGAAUCUACAGAAAGAGAUAAAGAUGGCGACUGCAAGAAAUGAGUUUAAACUCAUUGGUCCCAGUGGUACAGAGGAGUAUAAGCGCUCUGCUGUCACUCUCUCAUGUCGUCUGUCUCCUGAAAUCAGUGCUGUUAACAUGGAGAUCCGGUGGUUUAAGGAGACAGACUGUGUUUGUGUUUAUAAGAACAGAGAGGUGACAGAGGGGAGAGGUUACAGGGGCAGAGUGAGUCUGGACACUCAGGAGCUGGAGAGAGGAAACGUCUCCUUACAGCUGAGAGACUGUACAUGGUCAGAUGAUGGAUAUUACCUGUGUCAGGUCACUGAUGGAGACAGAACAGAGGAGAUUACAGUACAGAUGAUGGUAAGUAAAUAACUCGACUUCACACUAAUGGUAAAGGCUGAUAUUUUAUAAACUUAUCACAUAUAUUACAUUUUAAUCCAGGAAUCAAACAGAAUCAUAAAAAGCAUUUUCAGAUCAUGUUUACAUGAAGGAGUCUGAUCAGUAAGUGAGAUUCCACUUCCAUCAGUCAGCUUCUUUCCCACAAUGCACCUGUGUGUAACCUCACUGCAGUGCAAUAAUGUAGACAGAGACGUUUACCAUGUCGAGUAAAAGACACAACAAACACACAGUAUAUAACACACACCACUGACAGACUCCAUCACAAUCUUACACAAUAAACAUAAAUCACAGCUUUAACAGUUUUCAGUGCUUGUAGACAGAAUAAUUGUCAUCAGUCUCUCUGUGUAACAAUCACACCAUAUUCUGAAAAAGCAUUGAAGAGUCGACUCGGCCUAGCGUUUAGUCUCUUUAAGCUAACAGUAGUAAGGCGUGUUAAUGCACACAGAAUAAAGACAACCUGACUGAACUGAGAACAGAAGUCCUUCACUUCAUUUACAAUGGAUAUAAAAAGUCUACAUGUCCCUGAUAAAAUGGCAGGUUUUUGUUGUGUAAAAAAAUUAAAUCAGGAUAAAUCAUGUGUCACGUCUAGGACCCCGCCCUGUGCGGGGUUCGAACCCGGACUGCCGUGGUGUUGCGUGCAAGUGCCUGCACGCUGUGGAGAUAGAGACCCAUACGCAGGAUUCAGAGAAGCGCUGCUUUUAUUACAUAAAGACGAGACAGAGGGCAACUACUGUAACUUAACACUAGACAUGGCAUGGUGUAAAACUAAACAAAAGACAAAACCUGAACAUAACUAACCUAAACCUGCCAUAACACCACAGCACAGUUAACAAUCACAGACAAAGACAUGAACACAAGGAACCCUAUUUAUAGGGAGAGACAUUAGGGCUGAUGGGAUACAGGUGACGCACCAGGAAUGAGAACAAUGGGAAGGGCGUAACACAAAAGACACACAAAGAAGCAGGCUUCCAAGGUUCACCUGCCAGCGCCCUCUCUGGGCCUGGCAGGGAACUGUCCAGCUGUUCCUGACUUCAUGUCAGAACAUUUUCUACCUUUUAUUGGGAAAUUGUGAUUCAUAUAUUAUAGUGAUAAACAAUACGAUUUGUUUUUGUGGAGAAAAAAUAAAAAUAUACAAUUACCUGGUUGUAUUUUUGCACACACCCCUAAACUAAUACUUAAAGCUAGAGCUGGGUGAUAUGUCCUAUAAAUUGAAUCUCCGUUUUUUAAAACAAAAUUCGAUUUUCGAUUUCAAAAUGAUUAUUUUUCUUAAAGAAAAAUUAAUAAAACACUAGAGACUAUAUUAUAGAUUUUUUUUAUUUGAGCAAACACAAUACCACAUAUGAACUGCAAACUUACUUUCACUAACAAGUUUUUUUUUUUGUUAUUUUAGAAAAUCAAUAAUCAAUACAACAACAUAAAAACCUUUUUUUGGGAUUAAUAAAGUGCAAACUUUCACCAGUCUUUACAAGUUCUAAUUAUUCUAGCAAAAUAAAGUAAUAUAACAAAAUAUGAGGGAUUUGUCAAGUGCAAACUGCAGAUUUAACUUAAAUCACUUUUUAUAAAAUAAAUAGUUGUCACCUGAAAAAAAUCCCCGAAGAAAAAGAGUUUUGUAAAGCAGUUCAACACGCAACUAACACGCUAAAUAAAAUCAAACAGGAGCCAGACAGCAUUUUACAACUGUGUAUAUGGGCACAAUCAGGUAGAGUGGGCGAAUCCCCAGGGAGAGGCACAGGAUCAUCAGUUUUGUGAGAGGCCUCGCCUCAUCUGCAGUUUCAUUCUAGUUGCCAUAACAUUAUUCAGCUGUGUUCCCACAUUAUUUAGAAAACCGAAUAGACAAUUUAACAUACAUCAAUGAUAAACGGUGAAAUAAUUAAAAGAGAUUAACAAGAGAUUGAAUGUGAUUGGUUGAUUCUGAACACUGCCACAUUGUCAAUUAUGAAAGGGUGUGCAAACUUAUGCCACCUAUUUUAUUGUACAUUUUUAUUUUUAUUUUUCCCCCUAAAAUAAUUGUUAUUGUUCCUACUUUUAUAUGUAGUUUGCAGUUUUUCAAUAAAUGUGGAAAAGGAUCGGACAUGAUUUAUCUUGGGUUCAGUUUUUUUACUCAACAAAAACCUGCCAUUUUAUCAGGGGUGUGUAGACUUUUUAUCCAGAUAUAAAAAGAUUACAUGCUGUCAUAACCAAUAUAUAGAUGAAGCAGCAGAAAAACACAUCAUUCUGUAAUCUGUUCAGUUUUUACAUUGAUAAAUGUCUAUUUUUAAUUAAAGGAAGUGGGAAUCUGAUAUUCUGUAUAUUCCUUUAUCUACUACAAUAACACAUAGAUAUAUUACAGAAUAUUUCACUAUAUAUUUAAAAUACACAGGGGGAAAUACACAAAUACUGACAUACUGUAUAUUGGUAAAGACAUGCAGGGAUCAGAAAAUAGUAUUUUCCAAUAAAUCACAAGAUAUUUCUCUUCCUCAAGGGUAACUAGCGGUAUAUUAGCACAAUGCUACAUGAUACAGAUUUACUGUGUGUGAUGACUGAUUGUUGUCUAGUUUUCCUCUUUUUUAUUAAGACACACAUCAGCUGUGUUUUAACCAGAGUAACAGUUACUUUCACAUUUUCACAUGUAACAAGUCACAUUUGUAAUCAUGCAUAAAAUCUUCACACUGUUUUAUUUACUUUCACAGCGGACAUGUGAGUAUAAAUCCCUUUUCUCUGCUAGUGAUGUCUUGAUGCUGCAUGAAUAAUAUAUUUAUUGUACAGAUGAAAUAGAUUAGACUGUGCUGUGUGUUCAGAGUGCAAUAGCACAUAGAUAUAUGAGCAUCAUGAGCAUAGUGUAGUGAACACAACAGACUGUGAUCUCUGGCAGAACAUUCAUCAUGCUGUUGUCUAGUUUAUCAUUUAGUGUUGUACAGACACAGAAAUCUGACCUACACACUGAUACUGAGAGCUAAAAAGCUGAAUGUAUAGCAGUGAGAAGCAAAGCAAUACAAUAAGCUAGGUAAUACUGGGCUGCUAGUUUGUUCUGUAAACUGUGUGAUGUGUGUAAAUGAGUGCAGUCAGAAUGAGUUACACCGCCACAUCGGUGAUCAGACUGCUGCAGAAUCAGUGACAGUGUGAGCUAACCAACUUAUGCUAGGAACAAAGAUUAGCUCUUGUUGAAAGUGAGAGGUUUUGUUCUUUUACCUUGUGCUCAGACACUGUGACAGUCACAUUAAUGAGCAAAGAAACUCCAAUAUUUUAUCCACAGUGAAAAUCCACCAUGUAUAAUAGGGAUCCUCCAUUUUUUCCAGCCGAUACCGACUACUGUUUUUUGUUAUUGUGAUCAGCCGAUACCGAUCCCGAACUUCAUGCUUUAUAUAACUAUGUAACCUAUUUUAGUUCAUGAACUUAACCUAUUUUUUAAGUAGUGCCACAUAUGUUGGUUGUAUUGUUUAUAUUAUUUACAGUAAUUAGUGAGAUUGCGUAAGCAAUCGCACUCGUUAUCGUCACUAUUUAUUAUUAUUAUUCCGGUUCCUGGGCGCGCUACUAGUCCUAAACGGUAAUAACUAAAAAUAUGGUUGCAGUGCUAAAAUGUUCAUCAUGUGUUUCUUAAGUGUGCUAUUACUUUUCAUGCUGAUAAGUAUUGUAGUUUAUUUUAUAUUAAUUUUAAAUGCAUUUGUUACGGACUUCACUUCCUGGUUUCCGCACGGGCAUUUAAGGAGAUCGCGCACAGUUCGGUUUUUCUCUGAGAUUUUUUCUCGGUUUUUGUCGUAAACAAGCAUGUAAAACAUUACCAGUCCUAACGGUAAUCGCUAGAAACAUGGUUCCAACGCUAAAAUACUGCUUAGGUGUGCUAUUACUUUUCAUGCUGAUAAGUAUUAUAGUUUUUUAUAUGGAUGUGUAAAUGUAUUUUUCACGGACUUCAGACCGCUGCUGUGUGUGUGUGUGUGUGUGUGUGUGUGUGAGUAUGUGUGUGUGUGUGAGUGUGUGUGUGUGUGUGUGUGUGAGUGAGUGUGUGUGUGUGUG